RNAcentral lists this ribosomal RNA (253 nucleotides) under uncultured bacterium. RNAcentral's name for it is "partial 16S ribosomal RNA". It matches the Rfam family "Bacterial small subunit ribosomal RNA", at positions 524 to 776 of the family's 1533-position model. The record is from RNAcentral.
UACGUAGGGUGCAAGCGUUAAUCGGAAUUACUGGGCGUAAAGCGUGCGCAGGCGGUUUUGUAAGUCUGACGUGAAAUCCCCGAGCUCAACUUGGGAACUGCGUUUGAAACUACAAGACUAGAAUAUGUCAGAGGGGGGUAGAAUUCCACGUGUAGCAGUGAAAUGCGUAGAGAUGUGGAGGAACACCGAUGGCGAAGGCAGCCCCCUGGGUCAAGAUUGACGCUCAUGCACGAAAGCGUGGGGAGCAAACAGG